CCGCCGGCGCGAAACGAGCGUAGCUUCCUUGUCGUGUGGCCUCAGUCCUUCGCCGUCCCUCGCCGUCCUUCGCCAUCGCACGCCACCGCACCCCAUCUCUCGAAAUCUGCAGACAUCUUGAUUUUUCCCACGCUGUCUGUCAGGUCUCCGCCGCCACUCGACGCCAGGGCGCCGGGCCUUGUGGGCUGUGCUGCACCUCGGACGGCUUCGCACCAGCCAGCGCCCUCUCUCUCCUGCAGCACUCUGAUCUGCACCCCCUGAGGGGCUUCCACUGUCCGCGGGGUGAGAAUGCCCCUGGGAGUGUCACAUGACUGCCGCCCCAUGUGUGUGAGAGGCGUCCUCUGGGAGAGCAUGGAUCCUGAGGUCCCAGGAUUGUCAGCUGACCUCUGUCCUGUGUGCCCAGUGGCCCCAGGUGACGUGUCUUCAAGAAGAGGCUGAGCUGCGGUGCUUGUAAGGUCUCAGCCUUAGAUCCAAGGACAGUCCAAGGAAGUCCUAAGACCAUGGAGUUGGUGAUCUGGGAUCUGGGUUUGCUGAUAUUUCUCACCGUGAAUCUCUUGGUGGUGUUUGUGGGCACGAGAGGGGCAGAGAAUGGAGAGUGAGGCUACCACAUGAAGCGUCACCAGAGCUGCUCCCUGCUGCCUGCUCAGAGCACCCCGGAUCCACUGUUCAAUCUGCACAAGAUUCGGGGUCCAGACAUGGGAGACUUCAGCUGCCUCAGAGGACCGUGGACAGGGAAGGCCAGCCUCGCAUCCCUCUGUCCAUGCCUGGAAUGACUUUAAUAACCAAGAGUUUUAUUUUUGAAUUUGUAGCUGUCGUUCACUUUUUACCCACCCAUUCAAUAAACCUUACAGAAUUGCUCCAUGUGCUUCUUAAAUCAGUGACAACCUGUGAGCCUGCCAGGCUGGCUUUGGAGAAGAGGGAGGAAUCUACACAUGUCCCAGGGGCCAUGGUGAAAAGGUGCAGUUAAUCUCCCCACUUGAAGUUAAAACCACCUUGGCUGGAGUUGGGGCAAAAAUCACGCUGACGGCGUCUCGCUGCUGACUCCCAGGCUGGAAUACUCUGGCGUGAUCUUUGCUCACUGCAACCUCCACCGCCUGGGUUCAAGCGAUUCUCCUGCCUCAGCCUCCUGAGUAACUGGGACUACAGGGUCCCACCCAGGAUGCCAC
RNAcentral lists this long non-coding RNA (1166 nucleotides) under Homo sapiens (human). Its description in RNAcentral is "HSALNT0400869". The record is from RNAcentral. Lineage: Eukaryota; Metazoa; Chordata; Mammalia; Primates; Hominidae.